This 417-nucleotide unclassified non-coding RNA is filed under the name uncultured bacterium. RNAcentral describes it as "partial contains 16S ribosomal RNA, 16S-23S ribosomal RNA intergenic spacer, and 23S ribosomal RNA". The stretch from base 286 to 417 matches the Rfam family "Bacterial large subunit ribosomal RNA", at positions 1 to 131 of the family's 2925-position model. The record is from RNAcentral.
UGCGGCUGGAUCCCCUCCUUUCUAAGGAGUCACGCCCUGACCCAUCAGGGCACUCUCGAACCCGAGACGUCAUCGUGACGUUUGCAGGGGGACGGAGAAACUCCCAGUUGACGCACUCGCAAGUCCUCUCUUCCGUUGCCAGGGAGUGCUCCCACGCCGAGGCCCAUGUGGUCUCGGCGUGUUGUCGUGCACUCCUUCAUGCGAGCCCCGCCGAAAGGGCGGCUCGAGCUCGCAAUCCGGCCCUUGAGAAUUUCAUAGCGAGCACGAGCAUCUUUGUAGAAAAGAUCCCAAGCUACAAAGGGCCAACGGUGAAUGCCUUGGCAGUGAGAACCGAUGAAGGACGUGGAAGGCUGCGAUAAGCGACGGGGAGGUGCCGAUCAACCUUCGAUCCGUCGAUGUCCGAAUGGGGAAACCCGG